UACGUAGGGUGCAAGCGUUAAUCGGAAUUACUGGGCGUAAAGCGCACGUAGGCAGCUUGUUAAGUCGGAUGUGAAAGCCCCGGGCUCAACCUGGGAAUGGCAUCCGAUACUGGCAAGCUAGAGUACAAGAGAGGGUGGUAGAAUUUCUAGUGUAGCGGUGAAAUGCGUAGAUAUUAGAAGGAAUACCGGUGGCGAAGGCGGCCACCUGGCUUGAUACUGACGCUGAGGUGCGAAAGCGUGGGGAGCAAACAGG
This 253-nucleotide ribosomal RNA is filed under the name uncultured Alteromonadales bacterium. Its description in RNAcentral is "partial 16S ribosomal RNA". It matches the Rfam family "Bacterial small subunit ribosomal RNA", at positions 524 to 776 of the family's 1533-position model. Lineage: Bacteria; Pseudomonadati; Pseudomonadota; Gammaproteobacteria; Alteromonadales. The record is from RNAcentral.